UGUUGAUUAUCAAGCCAUGAUUUCUUCCUUUUUGAAGUCUUCUGCUGAAUUUCCUUUUUCUUCAGACAAGCUGUUUGCAAACAAAUGUCUGGUUCCUGAGAUAUAGCUUCAGUUCUGCAUGUAGUAGUAGGAGCUUUGUCUUCAACUAGCUUCUUUAGAUUCUUCAAAGCAUCAUCUACUAAUUUUAUGCACUCUUGUGAUGCAACUACUUGGGAAGCUAUGCCAAGGAACUCAUGCAUGAAAAACUUAAGCUGCUGCCUAUCUUCCGAUCUAGGGUCUUCCAAAACAAUGUUGCCAUGGCUGUUUUGAAUAGUGCCGCUUCGUGCUUCUCGAGUCCAUCGCUUCAAAAUAUAGUGGCUUGGAAGAUACUUAAUAUUCAUGACAUCAAGGGCUUUCAAAGCAUGACUACACAAUAUACCAACUCUUUCAAAUUGACCACAACUACAUAGAACUUUUUGCUCUUCAUCAACCAGAACUUUGCAUUCUUCCUCAUAAGAGCAUUCCGGGUCAAGAUUGGCAAUUGCAACAGUAUAUACACUGUGUUCCUCCGAUGGCUUGAUGUACGCUGAGAUGGAUCUUUCAUAUUCAUUCUGAAAAUCUUCAAAUAUGUGAGAAUGUCAAGAUCAGACUUCAAAUGGUCUUUCAAGUCACUAUUCAAGCUCUCACUUAAUUGUGUGCUUCUCAUGCCUAUAGUUGAAAGCUUCUUCAAAGUCUUCCUCUUCCUCAUACUUGUACAUGCAAGCACUGAAAUCAGCAAGUACAUUUGGGCCAUCCUCGU
Molecule: long non-coding RNA, 778 nt
Organism: Triticum aestivum (bread wheat)
Lineage: Eukaryota; Viridiplantae; Streptophyta; Magnoliopsida; Poales; Poaceae
Exons: 3
Source: RefSeq, a predicted model, not a curated record